This 253-nucleotide ribosomal RNA is filed under the name uncultured bacterium. RNAcentral's name for it is "partial 16S ribosomal RNA". It matches the Rfam family "Bacterial small subunit ribosomal RNA", at positions 524 to 776 of the family's 1533-position model. The record is from RNAcentral.
GACAGAGGGUGCAAACGUUGUUCGGAAUUACUGGGCGUAAAGCGAGUGUAGGCGGUUCGGUAAGUCGGAUGUGAAAGCCCCGGGCUUAACCCGGGAAGUGCACUCGAUACUGCCGAGCUAGAGUAUCGGAGAGGUUGGUGGAAUUCUCGGUGUAGAGGUGAAAUUCGUAGAUAUCGAGAGGAACACCGGUGGCGAAGGCGGCCAACUGGACGAAUACUGACGCUGAGACUCGAAAGCGUGGGGAGCAAACAGG